RNAcentral lists this ribosomal RNA (497 nucleotides) under uncultured bacterium. RNAcentral's name for it is "partial 16S ribosomal RNA". It matches the Rfam family "Bacterial small subunit ribosomal RNA", at positions 899 to 1397 of the family's 1533-position model. The record is from RNAcentral.
ACUCAAAUGAAUUGACGGGGGCCCGCACAAGCGGUGGAGCAUGUGGUUUAAUUCGAUGCAACGCGAAGAACCUUACCUACCCUUGACAUCCUGGGAAGGCUUUAGAGAUAGAGCUGUGCCGAGAGGAACCCAGAGACAGGUGCUGCAUGGCUGUCGUCAGCUCGUGUCGUGAGAUGUUGGGUUAAGUCCCGUAACGAGCGCAACCCUUGCCCUUAGUUGCCAUCAUUGAGUUGGGCACUCUAAGGGGACUGCCGGUGAUAAACCGGAGGAAGGUGGGGAUGAGGUCAAGUCAUCAUGGCCUUUAUGGGUAGGGCGACACACGUGCUACAAUGGUCGUUACAAAGGGAAGCAAACCUGCGAGGGGGAGCAAAUCUCAGAAAGGCGAUCGUAGUCCGGAUUGGAGUCUGGAACUCGACUCCAUGAAGUUGGAAUCGCUAGUAAUCGCGGAUCAGCACGCCGCGGUGAAUACGUUCCCGGGCCUUGUACACACCGCCCGU